CCUACGGGAGGCUGCAGUGAGGAAUAUUGGUCAAUGGACGAGAGUCUGAACCAGCCAAGUAGCGUGAAGGAUGACUGCCCUAUGGGUUGUAAACUUCUUUUAUAUGGGAAUAAAAUGUUCCACGUGUGGGAUUUUGUAUGUACCAUAUGAAUAAGGAUCGGCUAACUCCGUGCCAGCAGCCGCGGUAAUACGGAGGAUCCGAGCGUUAUCCGGAUUUAUUGGGGUUAAAGGGAGCGUAGGUGGAUUGUUAAGUCAGUUGUGAAAGUUUGCGGCUCAACCGUAAAAUUGCAGUUGAAACUGGCAGUCUUGAGUACAGUAGAGGUGGGCGGAAGUCGUGGUGUAGCGGUGAAAUGCUUAGAUAUCACGAAGAACUCCGAUUGCGAAGGCAGUUCACUGGACUGCAACUGACACUGAGGCGCGAAAGUGUGGGUAUCAAACAGGAUUAGAUACCCGAGUAGUC
This 460-nucleotide ribosomal RNA is filed under the name uncultured bacterium. Its description in RNAcentral is "partial 16S ribosomal RNA". It matches the Rfam family "Bacterial small subunit ribosomal RNA", at positions 338 to 795 of the family's 1533-position model. The record is from RNAcentral.